AUUGUGGACCUGAGAUGUGAACAAUAUGAAUGCAUCUUCUACUUUAAUAACACAUUUUCAUCUUGUCGCUCUGGUUUACUACCCGAAGUCUUCCGCACUUUACCUUAAGUACUCUGUAUCAAGCCAAACUCCUGAUCUGCCGAUUUAGGAGUUUCAUUUUCACUAUCAAUAUCCAAGAGAGGUAUUUAAUUAAAGAUUUAAAGAUCCUGCUGCCCCUUCUAUAAAAAUAAAUAUAAUAUAUAAUGUGAAAUUCUCUUUUUUUAUUGUGACAUUUAACAAAAUAAAAUCAUUUUGGUGAUCCUGACUGAUCUGAAACAAUGUUAAUGUAAUUUGAACCAGCACGGUGGCGCAGUUGUAAAGAGCUGGCCUCACAGUUCUGAGGACUAGGGUUCAUUCCCGGCCCUCCUUGUGUGGAGUUUGCAUGUUCUCCCCGUGCCUGCGUGGAUUUUCUUCGGGCACUCCGGUUUCCUCACACAUCCCAAAAACAUGCAACAUUAAUUGGACACUUUCAGUUUUCCCUAGGUGUCAUAGUGAGUGCAGCUGUUUGUCUCAAUGUGCCCUGUGAUUGGGUGGCAACCAGUUCAGGGUGUACCGCGCCGCCUGCCCAUUGACAGAUGGGAUAGGCUCCAGCACUCUCUGCGACCAUGGUGAGGUUAAGCAGCUAAGAAAAUGGAUGGAUGGAUGGAUGGAAGGAUGGAUGGAUUCUGAUGCACCUUCCACUCAUCCAAGGUCAGGUCACGGGGGCAUUAACAUUAGCAAGGAAACCAAAACUUCCCUCUAAACAGUGAAAGGUUAUGUUGGGACAGCAACCUGCGCUAAUACCCUGUUCCAGGAACUGCUUUAAAUGGAUUUGUUUUUCAGCAGGCUUCAGCCUUGUGUGACUAGACAAAACAGAGUUGUUUUUGAGCACCAGCUCCAGGGGAGCGUGCUUCAACUGCGGAAAAAUAGGACAUUGUCACAGAGCGCUCUGUUCAUUAAACUUCUAAGUGUUUGUCACAUUUCAUGCCUCUGGAGUCGUUAUUGACCGAACCUGGAAUUGGACGAACACACGGAAGGACCCCAAAAGGACCACUUUCCAACAAUUGGUGACCCCGACGUGAUUCAGAAACAUCUAUUGGACCGACAGGCAGAAAUUUUGGCGUCCCACAAUUGACAGGCUCGACGUCUUGAGACUCCACUGUCGGCAGCCUCCUUGAUGGAACUGAAGCGGAAGUGGUCUGAACCCCGGUGGGAUGGUCUCGACAAGGUGGUGGAACGAACUUCAUCCGCUGUUCGAUUGGAGGGAGAAGGGGACACGUGGUACCAUCUUUCAUCGACCCGCCCUGCUUGUACCCAGACCGGACAGCCUUUUGCCCCGGUUCUGCCCCCACGUCACCAGCCCCUGCCAUCAUCCCGCCUGCCAUUCCCUAACCUUGACUCCUAUCACCAUCUUACCGCCACACACACUUACCCCAACAUGCCACAUUUUAUUAAUAAAAUGCACCACACACUUUUCCCUUUUUGUUGCUGGCCAAUUUCACACUCUCAACCGCGAAAGACAACUGUCCCUGUCAAUCAACCUUUAUUUAUCUGUUGAGUUGUUGAUUUCUUUCGAACUCAAAAGGGGGAUGCUAAAAUUUCGCUGCUGGGUUGUCGUAAUUGCUUUCAUUACCAGAUUGUAAAAAUUGGAUUUUUUUGCCAAAUCAAAUUUUCGUGCUUUGUUGUGUUUGACUCUGUCAAGUCCAAAAGGGGGACUGAAAGGUUAAGUUAGGACAGCAACCUGCGCUAAUACCCAGUUCCAGGAACUGCCUUAAAUGAAGUUGUUUUUAAGCAGGCUUCAGCCUUGUGUGACUAGCCAAAAUGAAGUUGUUUUUCAGCAGGCACCUGUCUUGAGUAUCCAGUCGCAACAGAGGUGUUCUCAGCAGACUCAACGGCCUUGGGUGUCUAGUUACAUUAGUUAGAUCCUGUAUUGAGACUUGUCCGCCAAAGGCAGCUAUCCAACAUUGCCUAUAUAAUCUUUGUUCUCCUUUCACUCACUCACUCACUCACUCACUCACUCACACACACUCACACACACACAC
This is a long non-coding RNA of Syngnathoides biaculeatus (alligator pipefish), 2060 nucleotides long. RefSeq lists it as uncharacterized. The transcript is spliced from 3 exons. Lineage: Eukaryota; Metazoa; Chordata; Actinopteri; Syngnathiformes; Syngnathidae. The record is from RefSeq and is a predicted model, not a curated record.